Molecule: small nuclear RNA, 109 nt
Organism: Lutra lutra (Eurasian river otter)
Lineage: Eukaryota; Metazoa; Chordata; Mammalia; Carnivora; Mustelidae
Source: RefSeq, a predicted model, not a curated record
GUGCUCGCUUCGGCAGCACAUAUACUAAAAUUGGAACGAUACAGAGAAGAUUAGCAUGGCCCCUGCGCAAGACUUAUUUCCAGUAUGGGAUUAGGUUCAAUAAACUCUC